AGAAAGCCUACUAGCAUGCUACAGCAGAGCUUGAUAGCUUGCUAAAGGGGGGCUAACAAGCAUGCUACAGCGGAGCACGCUAGCUCACUACAGAGGAGCUUGUUAGCUUGCUACAGUGGAGCUUGCUAGCUUGCUAAAGGGGGGGCUGGUCAGCAUGCUACAGCAGAGCUUGCUAGCUCGCUACAGAGGAGCUCACCAUCAUGUUAAAGCGGAGCUUGCUACAUGGGAGGUAGCUAGCUUGAUACAAUGAAGCUCAAUACAACAUAGCUCACUAGCUAAAGAUGAGCUCCUAGCUAGCUUGGUGUAGCAGAGCUCGCUGCAGCGGAGCGGUCCAAGUGGCGGCGGGCUAGCGUAGCGAGUGUUUCCACUUAAGUCAAAGUGGGCAAACACAACCAGGGCCACAAACCAAUUAGGGGACCCACAAUUUCUGCCACUUUCAAACCAUGAGGGGCCCACUUGGCCUUGCUGGCUGGGAUGAAGAUGAAGAUGAAGAUGAAGAUGAAGACACCUACAGUUUGAAGCCAGGUUCUGAGCGGAAUGGGACUUCUGCAAAGGGGAGUCCACGGUCAGCAACUCCUUCCACGCCGGGCCGGACCUCCUCCAGUGGUGGGAUCCGGAGGACUUCCUGCUGGUUCUGAGUUUAACCGGGACGUCCCACUCCCUGCUAGCACAAGGAACCACCGCCUCCACUUCCUCUCACCCCUCAGUUCUGCAGCCGGACGCAGAACCGUCCUCCACCGUCGUCUGGACCCUCAGCAGUGGAGGUUUGGCGUCGAGGUCUUUUCCCGCCAUUUUGGUAAACAGAGGAACUCUUCUGCACAAAAAACAAAACCGAAAAUGUCUUUUCCGUCACAUUUUCAUGACUGAAACUGAUGUCAUUUUGACAUUUUUGGUUUGAGCUACCUGUCAUGGCGUCCUCUGGACAGGAAGCGCGAGGAGAUGCUGACCCUUUGGGCGCAGUUCUGCUCAACUGCAGAGAAAACCAGGAUGGAGGUUCAGAAAUGCCGGUUUAAAAGAAAUAGAGGAAGAACUUCUUCACGCUUUUUCUUUUACUGCCGCAGCUUUCUCCCAGCGUCUCGUAGUUCUCCUUCAGGAAGUCCUGCUGGCCGUGGUCGGCGUUGACUCUCCUCAGAGCUUCGUCCAAACUCGUCACCGCCUCCGGCGUUUCCUCUUUCUCAUCCUCCUCUUCCUCCUCAGAGCUGCUGCGGUUACGAGACUCUCCGUCUGAAGACACAAAGAAAUGUAACCGUCAUAAUUGAUUAACCUUUUGUAUCAUAUUUGAUACAUGAGGCAGUAGAAGAUGAAAUCUCAAAAACACUUUUGGCGGGAAAAGUUUAGCUAGUUUUUAAGGCUACAUAAUGAGAAGAACUCAUUUAUUCUUAUCCUUUUUUUUAAUGAUUACUUUUUAUUUAUAGAUAAUUAAUUCGUUAUAAUUCAGUUACACUUUGGUAAAAAUGUGUGGGUUC
This 1466-nucleotide long non-coding RNA is filed under the name Oryzias javanicus (javanese ricefish). Its description in RNAcentral is "lncRNA (ENSOJAG00000019791.1)". Lineage: Eukaryota; Metazoa; Chordata; Actinopteri; Beloniformes; Adrianichthyidae. The record is from RNAcentral.